UAAACAAAGAAAGACAAUCUUUCUAUUUCAAUCAGGUCUAACUGUGGCAGGAUACAAACAGCCUGAAAGCUUCCCAUACCUCCACCCUCACCAGACUUCAGCUCCUUGGCCUCCUGGAUUUGAGCAACAAGACUUUGGAGCCUUUGUGACGCAGCCGUUCUCCGCUCCUCCAAAACACUCCUUUGUUCUCUUGAAGAUGAGUUCAGACUUUCAGGAUGAAAGCUGAAGACGUCUCCCUCUGCUGCUGUUCCUGCAUCCGUCUUUAAGGCUCCAAGCCCACUUCCCUGCUGGUGGUUCUGCCCGUACGCUCUGUGUUCCCUCAUCAUGUUCAGGUUCCUCUAGUUGGGUCAACUAACCUCCUUCACUCUGCUGAAGACUAACAAAACUCAGUUUUUACCUGUUUUAUUUUCUAUGAUGAAAUGUGACUCUGCAUGCCGUGCUGGCCUUUAAAUGUUUAACUCUGAGGUUCUGGACUAGUCCAAAAAUAAAACCUAUUUCUAUUUAUGUAAACAUGAAGUAAUAUACUGAGGAAAAAUAAAGUCUUCUUCUGUAA
This is a long non-coding RNA of Fundulus heteroclitus (mummichog), 553 nucleotides long. RefSeq lists it as uncharacterized. The transcript is spliced from 2 exons. NCBI's taxonomy places the organism in Eukaryota, Metazoa, Chordata, Actinopteri, Cyprinodontiformes, Fundulidae. The record is from RefSeq and is a predicted model, not a curated record.